RNAcentral lists this long non-coding RNA (599 nucleotides) under Anas platyrhynchos platyrhynchos (common mallard). RNAcentral describes it as "lncRNA (ENSAPLG00000017629.1)". The record is from RNAcentral. Lineage: Eukaryota; Metazoa; Chordata; Aves; Anseriformes; Anatidae.
UUUUAAACAUCUUUUUUUUUUUUUUUUUUUUUUUUUGGCGGGGGGGGGGGGGGGUGGUUGGUGUUUCGAAAGAGUCAGGAGGAGGAAAACGAGGCGCUGUUAGAAAAGGUUCUCUUCGAAUAUUGCCAACAAGUCGCUCUGGAAAUUCAUGUCGAUCGUAGCUGCCAUCUGCGGGGAGAGGAGGAAGGGGGCGUCAAGGGGGCGCCGAGGACGUCAGGGUGGCAUUGGGGGCAUCAAGGUGACAUUGGGGGCAUCAAGGUGGCAUUAGGGGCAUCAGGGUGGCAUUGGGGGCAUUGGGGUGGCAUUGGGUUGGCAUUGGGGGCAUCAGGGUGGCACCAAGGGAGUCAAGGUGGCAUUGGGGGCAUUGGGGUGGCAUUGGGGGCAUCAAGGUGGAAUUGGGGGCAUCAAGGUGGCACCAAGGGAGUCAAGGUGGCAUUGGGGGCAUCGGGGUGGCACUGGGGGCAUCAAGGACAUCAUGGUGGCAUUAGGGGCAUCAGGGUGGCACAGGGGGCAUCUAAGUGGCACCAGGGACAUCAAGGUUGCACCAAGAGAGUCAAGGUGGCAUUGGGGACGUCAAAGUGGCACCAAGGAUGUUAAGG